Carlito syrichta (Philippine tarsier) is the source of this 238-nucleotide unclassified non-coding RNA. The record is from Ensembl. Lineage: Eukaryota; Metazoa; Chordata; Mammalia; Primates; Tarsiidae.
CUGUGCCUCCUGAUUGCUGAGUCUUCACCUGGACCUUCUGACUACCUUCCUUGUGCUAUAUUCCAUCAGCCUACAGAUCUGGUACCUGGAUUUUUACCCAUGGUGAUUCCUGCCACCUUACUACUGAAGAAGACACCAUUCCAGUGGACCACUGUGACCUAAGAGGCAUUCAGCCAUCAUGAUGUGGCCUUUACCUCCACUCCUGUCCUGUUCUACCCAGAUUCAGCACAGCUCUAUA